AUUGAACGCUGGCGGCAGGCUUAACACAUGCAAGUCGAGCGGGGGAAGGUAGCUUGCUACCGGACCUAGCGGCGGACGGGUGAGUAAUGCUUAGGAAUCUGCCUAUUAGUGGGGGACAACAUCUCGAAAGGGAUGCUAAUACCGCAUACGUCCUACGGGAGAAAGCAGGGGAUCUUCGGACCUUGCGCUAAUAGAUGAGCCUAAGUCGGAUUAGCUAGUUGGUGGGGUAAAGGCCUACCAAGGCGAAGAUCUGUAGCGGGUCUGAGAGGAUGAUCCGCCACACUGGGACUGAGACACGGCCCAAGCUCCUACGGGAGGCAGCAGUGGGGAAUAUUGGACAAUGGGGGGAACCCUGAUCCAGCCAUGCCGCGUGUGUGAAGAAGGCCUAUGGUUGUAAAGCACUUUAAGCGAGGAGGAGGCUACUCUAGUUAAUACCUAGGGAUAGUGGACGUUACUCGCAGAAUAAGCACCGGCUAACUACGUGCCAGCCGCCGCCGUAA
RNAcentral lists this ribosomal RNA (500 nucleotides) under uncultured bacterium. Its description in RNAcentral is "partial 16S ribosomal RNA". It matches the Rfam family "Bacterial small subunit ribosomal RNA", at positions 30 to 523 of the family's 1533-position model. The record is from RNAcentral.